Long non-coding RNA from Oncorhynchus keta (chum salmon), 466 nucleotides. RefSeq lists it as uncharacterized. The record is from RefSeq and is a predicted model, not a curated record. The transcript has 2 exons. Lineage: Eukaryota; Metazoa; Chordata; Actinopteri; Salmoniformes; Salmonidae.
AGGAAGAGGAGGCGACCGUCUCUCCCACAGAGGAAUCAAAGAAGAAGAAAACGAAGAAAAAGGUCAAGGAGGAAGAGGGAGAUUAAUCUGGUUGGGGAGAAACUGUAUUAUAUUAGAACUUUUAGUUGUCGUUGUAUCUACCAUGGACAGACUGACUCGUGUAUCUGACCAUUUAAAGACUAGAGAACUGGAGACGGAGGUUAUUUCAGAAUGACCAGCAGCUGAUCUGUUAUGAGACUUGAUGAUGGUGUAUAAAUCCUCCUGUGGAUUUGAGUUUAAGAUGAACCUUUAGUUUACUGUAACCUCUUAUUAUUACUAAUCAACUAAAGACCCAAUAGACUGUCUACAAUAUCAAUGUCCAUGUUAAAACACUUCCUUCCUCCACUGGUUUAACGAUGUGCCUUUUUAAAGAUGGGUUUUAUCUGCUGUGUUUGUCCAUAAGUGAUUAAAUCAAUUUUCUCAGUCA